Molecule: ribosomal RNA, 258 nt
Filed under: uncultured bacterium
Lineage: Bacteria
Description: partial 16S ribosomal RNA
Rfam family: Bacterial small subunit ribosomal RNA
Source: RNAcentral
GUCCACACAGUAAACGAUGAAUACUCGCUGUUGGCGAUACACAGUCAGCGGCCAAGCGAAAGCAUUAAGUAUUCCACCUGGGGAGUACGCCGGCAACGGUGAAACUCAAAGGAAUUGACGGGGGCCCGCACAAGCGGAGGAACAUGUGGUUUAAUUCGAUGAUACGCGAGGAACCUUACCCGGGCUUAAAUUGCAGCGGAAUGUAGUGGAAACAUUACAGCCUUUCGGGCCGCUGUGAAGGUGCUGCAUGGUUGUCGU